GCUGGGUAUGGUGGCGCAUGCCUGUAAUCCCAGCUACUUGGGAGGCUGAGGCAGGAGAAUCACUUGAACCCGGGAGAUGAAGGUUGCAGUGAGGUGAGGUCGCACCACUGCAGUCCAGCCUGGGCAACAGAGCGAGACUCUGUCUCCA
This 148-nucleotide non-coding RNA is filed under the name Gorilla gorilla gorilla (western lowland gorilla). Lineage: Eukaryota; Metazoa; Chordata; Mammalia; Primates; Hominidae. The record is from Rfam by way of RNAcentral.